AGAGUUUGAUUCUGGCUCAGAACGAACGCUGGCAGCGUGGAUUAGGCAUGCAAGUCGAACGGGAAGCCGUUGAUCAAUUCUUCGGAAGAGUGAUUCGGUGGAGAGUGGCGGAAGGGUGAGUAACGCGUGGGCAAUCUACCUCCAAGUUGGGGAUAAUUCCGCGAAAGCGGGACUAAUACCGAAUGUGGUCGUAUGUCGCAUGGCAGACUGACUAAAGGUGGGGAUCCUUCGGGACCUGCCGCUGGAUAGGAGCCCGCGUGCCAUCAGCUUGUUGGUGAGGUAACGGCCCACCAAGGCUUACGGCUAGCUGGUCUGAGAGGAUGAUCAGCCACACUGGGACUGAGACACUGCCCAGACUCCUACGGGAGGCUGCAGUCGAGGAUCAUUGUCAAUGCGCGGAAGCGUGAACAUGCGACGCUGCGUGGAGGAUGACGGCUUUCGGGUUGUAAACUCCUGUCAUGAGGGAAAAACGGUCCCGCAAUCAAUACCUGCGGGACGUGAUGGUACCUCAAGAGGAAGCCACGGCUAACUCUGUGCCAGCAGCCGCGGUAAUACAGAGGUGGCGAGCGUUGUUCGGAUUUACUGGGCGUAAAGGGUGCGUAGGCGGCUUCGUGUGUCGGAUGUGAAAUCCCACGGCCCAACCGUGGAACUGUGUUCGAAACUGCGGAGAUAGAGUGCAGGAGAGGAGAGCGGAAUUCUUGGUGUAGCGGUGAAAUGCGUUGAUAUCAAGAAGAACACCGGUGGCGAAAGCGGCUCUCUGGAAUGUUACUGACGCUGAGGCACGAAAGCUGGGGGAGCGAACAGGAUUAGAUACCCUGGUAGUCCCAGCUGUAAACGGUGUGCACUUGGUGUGGGAGGUAUUGACCCCUUCCGUGCCGGAGCUAACGCGUUAAGUGCACCGCCUGGGGAGUACGGCCGCAAGGCUAAAACUCAAAGAAAUUGACGGGGGCCCGCACAAGCGGAGGAGCAUGUGGCUUAAUUCGAUGCAACGCGAAGAACCUUACCAGGGCUUGACAUCUACCUGCAUGCCCCCUGAAAGGGGGGAGGCCUUCGAGGGUGGUAGACAGGUGCUGCAUGGCUGUCGUCAGUUCGUGCCGUGAGGUGUUGGGUUAAGUCCCGCAACGAACGCAACCCUUGUGGUUAGUUGCAACUGCAGGUGAUAAGCCUGCGGGCACUCUAGCCAGACUGCCUGUACAAGCAGGAGGAAGGUGGGGAUGACGUCAAGUCAGUAUGGCCCUUACGCCCUGGGCUGCACACGUGCUACAAUGGUCGGUACAAAAGGAUGCAAUACCGCGAGGUGGAGCUAAUCCCCAAAACCGGCCCCAGUUCGGAUUGGAGUCUGAAACUCGACUCCAUGAAGCCGGAUUCGCUAGUAACGGCGUAUCAGCUACGGCGCCGUGAAUACGUUCCCGGGCCUUGUACACACCGCCCGUCACAUCAUGAAAGCCGUCUGCACCCGAAGUCGCUGAGCCAAUCCUUUACGGGAAGGCAGGUGCCGAAGGUGUGGGUGGUG
This 1513-nucleotide ribosomal RNA is filed under the name metagenome. Its description in RNAcentral is "bacterial SSU rRNA". It matches the Rfam family "Bacterial small subunit ribosomal RNA". The record is from RNAcentral.